Long non-coding RNA from Oreochromis aureus, 1032 nucleotides. RefSeq lists it as uncharacterized. The record is from RefSeq and is a predicted model, not a curated record. The transcript is spliced from 4 exons. Lineage: Eukaryota; Metazoa; Chordata; Actinopteri; Cichliformes; Cichlidae.
CCUGAAGUUUAUCACUAUUAGGCAAGCAAGCAGAGCGGCAGUUUGUGCUCACAGAUGGUGACGGUGUGGAGAGACGGUGGUGUUUCCUCAGAAGAACUAGCAGAGUCACAAAGGGCACGAGUCCAUCUCACCACCUUGACUUGUUGAUCAGUGGAUACACUUGUCUCCCCUUUAAAGGAGACACUCUUAGAGAGAGACGAUCCGAGUCAUCCUUAAAUAUGGACAGGAUAUCACUAUUGGACUGUCUAACCUGCAGGAGCAGCACUGAAUGACCACCACACAUGAUCAGUUCCUGCAACAUUCAGCAGCUUUGCUUUUGUGUCAAAUGUCAAACAGCUGGAGAGGAAACUACACCAGUGUACUGGGAUGUUUCACCAACACGUGCCAGACGCUGUUCCUUCAUGGUGACAUCACCAGAGACGGCCCCGCCCACCUCAGGACCUCGCCAUUGAUCAUGAUGAUUUUAAUGAUGACAGCGAGCAGAACUAAGACUGUAAAAAUCAGAAUGUUUAGAUGCUUUCUAAUUAUUCAUGAAUACUGAGAGCCUCUUUCUGUGUUUUGUCUGUUUUGUUUUUUUUUACCUCAUUUGUUACUAACAAAGUUCACCAAACUCACACAGUUUACAUUCUGUAUGUUUCCAUCUUUACCAGCCACACUCUACCCGCAAUUAAGAAAAUAAUCCUUAGAAAUUGUCGUUUUUCUCUUUUGUAAUUUUGUAAUUCAGUGAAUAUACUGCGCUGCGUCUCACAUUGCUUUAAGUUUUUCCAGUGUCCAGUUAUUUUUUACUGCUGUUUGAAUUCUCUGUAUGUUUGACCCUGUAGACUGUUUGAUGGACUGCUUGUCUUCCUGUUUGUAACCGCCGCCUGUUUUUGACUAAAGAUUUGGAUUUCUGACUUUAACACAGCCUCUGCGUGUCCUCCCUUUGUGUCCUCUUCCUCUGUGAAUGUGUUGCAUGUGUCACAGAUUCAUUUAUUAACAGCUUUCCCACAGUGAGUUGCAUCAGCAUUCAUUCACAGCACAUUUCAGAAGGAU